GGGUCCGGACACACUGAGGAUUGACAGAUAUACGUCGUGCGUUGAGCUCUCUCGGGGGCCGAGCGCAUGACUGAAAGAUGCUAGUUCUUUCAUGAUUAUGUGAUAGGUGGUGCAUGGCCGUUCUUAGUUCGUGGAGUGAUCUGUCUGCUUAAUUGCGUAUCAUAAAAAAAGAGACCUAGUAUACGCGUAAGAUAUCGUUUACGGUUCGUGACCCCCUUCGGGCGUGUGUCGCACGUACGUAUCAUACGCACUGGUCUCCGAUAGCAACGAACGUGACCGUACUCUAUUGUUGCAGCGAAUGUAUGCAUCUUCGGGUGUAUCUACCGCUGCUUAGCAUAUUUCAUGCCUCGUGCGUGUGUAUGCAUUAAACUAUAGAGACCGCUGUAUUUUUUUUAAACCAGAGGAAGGAUACGGCAAUAACAGGUCUGUGAUGCCCUCAGAUGUUCCGGGCUGCACACGUGCUACAAUGAUCAUUGCACUGUGCAUCUAACCCGAUGUGCGUGGACGCCACGGUAUGUAUUUAUGCUUCGGCGUAGUAUAUAUCAGUUGGUCGGUCGCGCCGAACCUACUUCGAAAGUAAAAUUUCUCAGUGGGU
Molecule: ribosomal RNA, 595 nt
Filed under: Ammonia sp. genotype T1
Lineage: Eukaryota; Foraminifera; Rotaliida; Rotaliidae
Description: bacterial SSU rRNA
Rfam family: Eukaryotic small subunit ribosomal RNA (bases 1-465)
Source: RNAcentral